Molecule: ribosomal RNA, 453 nt
Filed under: uncultured Alloprevotella sp.
Lineage: Bacteria; Pseudomonadati; Bacteroidota; Bacteroidia; Bacteroidales; Prevotellaceae
Description: bacterial SSU rRNA
Rfam family: Bacterial small subunit ribosomal RNA
Source: RNAcentral
ACGGGAGGCAGCAGUGAGGAAUAUUGGUCAAUGGACGAGAGUCUGAACCAGCCAAGUAGCGUGCAGGAUGACGGCCCUCCGGGUUGUAAACUGCUUUUAGUUGGGAAUAAAAGAGGGGACGUGUCCCCUAUUGUAUGUACCAUCAGAAAAAGGACCGGCUAAUUCCGUGCCAGCAGCCGCGGUAAUACGGAGGGUCCGGGCGUUAUCCGGAUUUAUUGGGUUUAAAGGGAGCGUAGGCGGGCGUUUAAGUCAGUGGUAAAAGCGUGUGGCUCAACCAUACCACGCCAUUGAAACUGGACGCCUUGAGUGCACACAGGGAUGCUGGAAUUCGUCGUGUAGCGGUGAAAUGCUUAGAUAUGACGAAGAACUCCGAUUGCGAAGGCAGCCUUCUGGAGUGCGAUUGACGCUGAGGCUCGAAAGCGCGGGUAUCAAACAGGAUUAGAUACCCUGGUA